GGACCCGCACAAGCGGUGGAGCAUGUGGUUUAAUUCGACGCAACGCGAAGAACCUUACCAGGGCUUGACAUCCUUACUAACAUCCGGGUAAUGCCGGAUGGCCCGCAAGGGGGUAAGAGACAGGUGGUGCAUGGUUGUCGUCAGCUCGUGUCGUGAGAUGUUGGGUUAAGUCCCGCAACGAGCGCAACCCUUACGGUCAGUAGCCAGCGAGCAAAGUCGGGCACUCUGGCCGGACUGCCGGGGACAACCCGGAGGAAGGCGGGGAUGAUGUCAAAUCAUCAUGCCCCUUAUGUUCUGGGCAACACACGUGCUACAAUGGCGGCCACAAAGAGAGGCGAACCCGCGAGGGGGAGCGGAACCCCAAAAAGCCGUCCCAGUUCGGAUCGCAGUCUGCAACUCGACUGCGUGAAGCUGGAAUCGCUAGUAAUCGCGAAUCAGCAUGUCG
Molecule: ribosomal RNA, 445 nt
Filed under: uncultured Bacillota bacterium
Lineage: Bacteria; Bacillati; Bacillota
Description: bacterial SSU rRNA
Rfam family: Bacterial small subunit ribosomal RNA
Source: RNAcentral